GACGAACGCUGGCGGCGUGCUUAACACAUGCAAGUCGAACGGAAAGGCCCUGCUUUUGUGGGGUGCUCGAGUGGCGAACGGGUGAGUAACACGUGAGUAACCUGCCCUUGACUUUGGGAUAACUUCAGGAAACUGGGGCUAAUACCGGAUAGGAGCUCCUGCUGCAUGGUGGGGGUUGGAAAGUUUCGGCGGUUGGGGAUGGACUCGCGGCUUAUCAGCUUGUUGGUGGGGUAGUGGCUUACCAAGGCUUUGACGGGUAGCCGGCCUGAGAGGGUGACCGGCCACAUUGGGACUGAGAUACGGCCCAGACUCCUACGGGAGGCAGCAGUGGGGAAUAUUGCACAAUGGGCGGAAGCCUGAUGCAGCGACGCCGCGUGCGGGAUGACGGCCUUCGGGUUGUAAACCACUUUCGCCUGUGACGAAGCGUGAGUGACGGUAAUGGGUAAAGAAGCACCGGCUAACUACGUG
RNAcentral lists this ribosomal RNA (468 nucleotides) under uncultured bacterium. RNAcentral's name for it is "partial 16S ribosomal RNA". It matches the Rfam family "Bacterial small subunit ribosomal RNA", at positions 28 to 507 of the family's 1533-position model. The record is from RNAcentral.